RNAcentral lists this ribosomal RNA (253 nucleotides) under uncultured prokaryote. Its description in RNAcentral is "partial 16S ribosomal RNA". It matches the Rfam family "Bacterial small subunit ribosomal RNA", at positions 524 to 776 of the family's 1533-position model. The record is from RNAcentral.
UACGGAGGGGGCGAGCGUUAUUCGGAAUUAUUGGGCGUAAAGGGCGCGUAGGCGGCUGAACAAGUCAAAGGUGAAAUCCCUCGGCUCAACUGAGGAACUGCCUUUGAAACUGUUCGGCUUGAGGCCGGGAGGGGGUAGCGGAAUUCUCGGUGUAGCAGUGAAAUGCGUAGAUAUCGAGAGGAACACCAGAGGCGAAAGCGAGUCGCUGGACAGAACCUGACACUGAGGCACGAAAGCCAGGGGAGCAAACGGG